GCCUUACCAGGUCUUGACAUCCUUUGACCACUCUAGAGAUAGAGCUUCCCCUUCGGGGGCAAAGUGACAGGUGGUGCAUGGUUGUCGUCAGCUCGUGUCGUGAGAUGUUGGGUUAAGUCCCGCAACGAGCGCAACCCUUAUUGUUAGUUGCCAUCAUUCAGUUGGGCACUCUAGCAAGACUGCCGGUGACAAACCGGAGGAAGGUGGGGAUGACGUCAAAUCAUCAUGCCCCUUAUGACCUGGGCUACACACGUGCUACAAUGGGAAGUACAACGAGUUGCGAAGUCGCGAGGCUAAGCUAAUCUCUUAAAGCUUCUCUCAGUUCGGAUUGCAGGCUGCAACUCGCCUGCAUGAAGCCGGAAUCGCUAGUAAUCGCGGAUCAGCACGCCGCGUCC
This 395-nucleotide ribosomal RNA is filed under the name Enterococcus sp. ZYQ-2015-14. RNAcentral describes it as "bacterial SSU rRNA". It matches the Rfam family "Bacterial small subunit ribosomal RNA", at positions 966 to 1363 of the family's 1533-position model. Lineage: Bacteria; Bacillati; Bacillota; Bacilli; Lactobacillales; Enterococcaceae. The record is from RNAcentral.